RNAcentral lists this long non-coding RNA (213 nucleotides) under Cervus elaphus hippelaphus. It matches the Rfam family "7SK RNA", at positions 1 to 216 of the family's 331-position model. Rfam says of the family: 7SK was discovered as an abundant small nuclear RNA in the mid-70s but a possible function has only recently been suggested. Two independent studies have found that 7SK RNA binds the CDK9/cyclin T complex (known as elongation factor P-TEFb). P-TEFb activates transcription by phosphorylating the C-terminal domain of RNA polymerase II. The record is from RNAcentral. Lineage: Eukaryota; Metazoa; Chordata; Mammalia; Artiodactyla; Cervidae.
GGGUGUGAAGGCAGCUGAACUGCAACAUCUGUCACCCAUUGAUCGCCAGGGUUAAUUCGGCUGAUCUGGCUGGAUAAUUGGGUGUCCCCUUCCUCCCUCACUGCUUCAUGUACAUCCCUCCUGAAGUCAUGUGCUUGGUUGAAGCACAUGAGAAGGAGGAGGAGGAGGACCAUUCUUCAGUCAAGGGUAUACAAGUAGCAGCAUUCCCCUGCU